Non-coding RNA from Petromyzon marinus (sea lamprey), 1837 nucleotides. NCBI's taxonomy places the organism in Eukaryota, Metazoa, Chordata, Hyperoartia, Petromyzontiformes, Petromyzontidae. The record is from RefSeq and is a predicted model, not a curated record.
GAGGUGUACGAGGAGGCGGAGGAGGCGCGCGAGGAGGGGGCGGUGGUGGACGAGGUGGCGGUGGUGGACGAGGCGCCACGCGGUGGAGGUGGACGACGCGGACGAAACGGACGAGGCUGAAGUUGUGGGGGACGAUGACGAGGUGGACGAGGUGGGGUUAGUGGUGGCUGAAGGUGGACGAUGACGAGGUGGACGAGGUGGGGUUAGUGGUGGCUGAAGGUGGACGAUGACGAGGUGGACGAGGUGGCUGAAGGUGGACGAUGACGAGGUGGCUGAAGGUGGACGAUGACGAGGUGGACGAGGUGGGGUUAGUGGUGGCUGAAGGUGGACGAUGACGAGGUGGACGAUGACGAGGUGGACGAUGACGAGGUGGUGCAGGAGAGAUGAGAGGUCGUGUGAUGACGACUUUGCUGAACUUUGAAUCGUUGUGAAUGUUAAUGACGCGCUACCAUAAAAAAUGCCUUUUUGAUUAACAAAAAUCAUAAAUACUUCAAUAAAAGUGAAGUUUUGUACGCGUACAGACGGAUUUACGAAGGUUGUGUGCACCAUUGUCUGCUGGAAAUACUUUGUACGAUUAAUCUUCAACUUUAACAAAGAAAGUCUUCCAAGAAACAUCUUGCCCCUCACCCGAAACGCUUCAUUAUCGAUCCGCCUUUUGCGGUAUUUUUAUAUCUCCCUGGAGUAUUUUGUCCUUAAAGGUAUCGUUUUAUUUUGUUUAAAUGCACCUUGUAUGAUGCAUCAAGGCCGUAGUUAUAAUAAAUAUAAUUAUAAUAAAUAUUGAAGGGGACGCAUCCCCCCCCAAUAUAUUAUAAAAUAGAUUUAUGUUUAUAUGAUUGUGGUUAUGGGUUAUACGUUAUUAAUCCCUAACCUCUGCCAUUACUUACACUGAAACAAUGAAUACAAAACCCAGAGCAAUGUAAUACAAUAACACUAUUAGACAUUGUAAAAAAAGGAAUACAAAUUCCAUCCUACGUGUUAGUUACUUUUGAAAAUAUUUUAGGCAGGAAAUUAGUUUUAUAAUUUUUAUUUUUUUCUGGGGGGGGGGGGGGGGGACAGCCCCCCAAUGUUUACUCUAAGGCCUUGUGAAGCAUUGUUUGACACAUUUAUAAGUAACGCGAUCUAACCCAAAAAAACCUUAUUUAUUAUGAACGCGUUGUCGGCAUUGACUCCCUGUGGACAAUGCCGCUCCACAUCAACGUUCAGUAAAAUAUAACAAAAAAAAUUGAUUAUCCAGUCUUCGGUUACUAAAUUAGCGAGAAAGUAAUCGACUACCGUGGGAUUUCUUAAGGCAAUCUGUAAUAAAACAAAAAUAACAUUUUAAAGUUUUAUUUGUUCGGUCCCAGCGCUCGCUUCCGGCCAAAGGUAAAAUUUCGUCUUUAAGUAUUUCUUUAAUAUUUAUUUUAACGUAAGAUGAGAAUGCAGUUUACAAGGGGCAACUUUACCUUAAAAAGUGUAAAGAAAUGUGAUUUUGUUGAAGUGAAAUUGUUUACAUUAAGACUAUGCUUUACCAUACAAACCACGCAUGGUAAAUUAUCUUGAACGUUAUUAACGUUUAAUUGGUGUUUUUAAUCGAUAAUUGAUCACUUUAACUCGUUCCCGCCAAAAUGUUUGGGUGUUGUGGAAAUGUAAUUUUAAACGUUUAUAGACUUUAUGUUAAUGUAACUUGCGGUUUAUAACGGCAGCUUUACCUCGAACAAUGUAAGAAACCACGAUUACAUUUAUGAUUACAUUUAAAACAUUAUGACAUGUUUAAUAAUGGUCGUUAACAGCUGUAUUGUUUACCUCAUGAGAUAUUACUGCAAUAAAGUUAUGGAUGCAAUAAAGUUGUUUACAUACA